UACGUAGGGUGCAAGCGUUGUCCGGAAUUAUUGGGCGUAAAGAGCUCGUAGGCGGUUUGUCACGUCGGAUGUGAAAAUCCAGGGCUCAACCCUGGACCUGCAUUCGAUACGGGCAGACUAGAAUUCGGUAGGGGAGUCUGGAAUUCCUGGUGUAGCGGUGAAAUGCGCAGAUAUCAGGAGGAACACCGGUGGCGAAGGCGGGACUCUGGGCCGAUAUUGACGCUGAGGAGCGAAAGCGUGGGGAGCGAACAGG
Molecule: ribosomal RNA, 253 nt
Filed under: uncultured bacterium
Lineage: Bacteria
Description: partial 16S ribosomal RNA
Rfam family: Bacterial small subunit ribosomal RNA
Source: RNAcentral